Molecule: long non-coding RNA, 363 nt
Organism: Gymnodraco acuticeps
Lineage: Eukaryota; Metazoa; Chordata; Actinopteri; Perciformes; Bathydraconidae
Exons: 3
Source: RefSeq, a predicted model, not a curated record
UUCAAUAUCUAUUAAAAACAAGUCCUCAUUAAAUCCGGGUUCACCCCUUCUAUACACGGGGCAUUCCUUUAGAAUAGGCGCAGCUACUUCCGCUGCUAAUCAAGGUGUCUCAUCCUCAUCCCUGCAACAACUCGGACGGUGGUCCGCCUCCGCUUUCUCAUCCUACAUUCACCCUGACCUCAAUGCCGUGCUGGCUAUCCAAAGGUCUCUCCAACCUGAAAUUGAUUUCCACUGCAUCCCACAAGCUGUCUUCCAGGUGUCAACGCGCAACCCUCCUCCACCCCUUCGCCUCCUGCUUUCAACUCAGGACCAAGCUUAACCUUAAGCUUAACCUUCUCCCUUCCAACCGGACCUAACCACUUG